AGGGUUUGAUUCUGGCUCAGGAUGAACGCUGGCGGCGUGCCUAACACAUGCAAGUCGAACGAAGCGCUUCCGCCUGAUUUUCUUCGGAGAUGAAGGCGGCUGCGACUGAGUGGCGGACGGGUGAGUAACGCGUGGGCAACCUGCCUUGCACUGGGGGAUAACAGCCAGAAAUGGCUGCUAAUACCGCAUAAGACCGAAGCGCCGCAUGGCGCUGCGGCCAAAGCCCCGGCGGUGCAAGAUGGGCCCGCGUCUGAUUAGGUAGUUGGCGGGGUAACGGCCCACCAAGCCGACGAUCAGUAGCCGACCUGAGAGGGUGACCGGCCACAUUGGGACUGAGACACGGCCCAG
Molecule: ribosomal RNA, 348 nt
Filed under: uncultured bacterium
Lineage: Bacteria
Description: bacterial SSU rRNA
Rfam family: Bacterial small subunit ribosomal RNA
Source: RNAcentral